CCGGCGCGCAACACGAUGGUUGGGUUUGGAUUGUUGUACUUUUUUUUUUGUUCGUUGCAUUUUUAGGAACAAAAAAAAAAGCCCAACCCUUCACACCACUUCAUCCGCAUCUCUGAGGACC
Equus caballus (horse) is the source of this 121-nucleotide non-coding RNA. RefSeq annotates it as microRNA mir-3613. The record is from RefSeq and is marked provisional. Lineage: Eukaryota; Metazoa; Chordata; Mammalia; Perissodactyla; Equidae.